UACGGAGGGUGCAAACGUUGCUCGGAAUCAUUGGGCGUAAAGCGAGCGUAGGCGGUCUUGCAAGUCGGAUGUGAAAGCCCUCGGCUCAACCGAGGAAGUGCAUCCGAAACUGCAUGACUUGAGUACCGGAGAGGGUGACGGAAUUCCCGGUGUAGAGGUGAAAUUCGUAGAUAUCGGGAGGAACAUCAGUGGCGAAGGCGGUCACCUGGACGGUAACUGACGCUGAGGCUCGAAAGCGUGGGGAGCAAACAGG
Molecule: unclassified non-coding RNA, 253 nt
Filed under: uncultured Kofleriaceae bacterium
Lineage: Bacteria; Pseudomonadati; Myxococcota; Haliangiales; Kofleriaceae
Description: contains 16S-23S intergenic spacer region
Rfam family: Bacterial small subunit ribosomal RNA
Source: RNAcentral